AGCGAACGCUGGCGGCAGGCUUAACACAUGCAAGUCGAACGCAUCACUUCGGUGGUGAGUGGCAGACGGGUGAGUAACACGUGGGAACGUACCCUUCGAUCUGGGAUAACUUCGGGAAACUGGAGCUAAUACCGGAUACGCCCUUUUGGGGAAAGGUUUACUGUCGAAGGAUCGGCCCGCGUCUGAUUGGCUAGUUGGUGGGGUAACGGCCUACCAAGGCGACGAUCAGGAGCUGGUCUGAGAGGAUGAUCAGCCACACUGGGACUGAGACACGGCCCAGACUCCUACGCGAGGGAGCAGUGGGGAAUAUUAGACAAUGGGCGCAAGCCUGGUCCAGCCAUGCCGCGUGAGUGAUGAAGGCCUUAGGGUUGUAAAGCUCUUUUGUCCGGGACGAUAAUGACGGUACCGGAAGAAUAAGCCCCGGCUAACUUCGUG
RNAcentral lists this ribosomal RNA (435 nucleotides) under uncultured bacterium. Its description in RNAcentral is "partial 16S ribosomal RNA". It matches the Rfam family "Bacterial small subunit ribosomal RNA", at positions 29 to 507 of the family's 1533-position model. The record is from RNAcentral.